This 756-nucleotide ribosomal RNA is filed under the name uncultured bacterium. RNAcentral describes it as "bacterial SSU rRNA". It matches the Rfam family "Bacterial small subunit ribosomal RNA", at positions 8 to 796 of the family's 1533-position model. The record is from RNAcentral.
AGAGUUUGAUCCUGGCUCAGAAUCAACGCUGGCGGCGCGCUUAACACAUGCAAGUCGCACGAGAAAGUGGAGCAAUCCAUGAGUAAAGUGGCGUACGGGUGAGUAACACGUGGAUCAUCUACCUCUUAGUGGGGAAUAACCCUGGGAAACCGGGGCUAAUACCGCAUAAGCCUGAAAAGGGAAAGCAGCAAUGCGCUGAGAGAGGAGUCCGCGGCCGAUUAGCUAGUUGGUAGGGUAAUGGCCUACCAAGGCAAUGAUCGGUAGCCGGCCUGAGAGGGCACACGGCCACACUGGCACUGAAACACGGGCCAGACUCCUACGGGAGGCAGCAGUGGGGAAUCUUGCACAAUGGAGGAAACUCUGAUGCAGCGACGCCGCGUGAGCGAUGAAGCCCUUCGGGGUGUAAAGCUCUUUCGACGGGAACGAUAAUGACGGUACCCGGAGAAGAAGCUGCGGCUAACUACGUGCCAGCAGCCGCGGUAAUACGUAGGCAGCAAGCGUUGUUCGGAAUUACUGGGCGUAAAGAGUGUGUAGGCGGUUCUCUAUGUUCGGUGUGAAAUCUCCCGGCUUAACUGGGAGGGUGCGCCGAAAACUGGAGGGCUUGAGUAUGGGAGAGGAAAGCGGAAUUCCUGGUGUAGCGGUGAAAUGCGUAGAUAUCAGGAGGAACACCUGCGGUGUAGACGGCUUUCUGGACCAUCACUGACGCUGAGACACGAAAGCGUGGGUAGCAAACAGGAUUAGAUACCCUAGUAGUCC